Oncorhynchus keta (chum salmon) is the source of this 830-nucleotide long non-coding RNA. RefSeq lists it as uncharacterized. Lineage: Eukaryota; Metazoa; Chordata; Actinopteri; Salmoniformes; Salmonidae. The transcript is spliced from 4 exons. The record is from RefSeq and is a predicted model, not a curated record.
ACAGCACCAGAACAGCACAUCGACACAGAGGUAAACACAGCACCAGAACAGCACAUCGACACAGAGGUAAACACAGCACCAGAACAGCACAUCAAAACAGAGGGUAAACACAGCACCAGAACAGCACAUCGACACAGAGGUAAACACAGCACCAGAACAGCACAUCAAAACAGAGGGUAAACACAGCACCAGAACAGCACAUCGACACAGAGGUAAACACAGCACCAGAACAGCACAUCAAAACAGAGGUAAACACAGCACCAGAACAGCACAUCAAAACAGAGGUAAGAACAGCACAUCAAAACAGAGGUAAACACAGCACCAGAACAGCACAUCAAAAGAGGUAAACACAGCACCAGAACAGCACAUCAAAACAGAGGUAAACACAGCACCAGAACAGCAUCACGAAAAACCUGAAUUAUAUUGGCUGUCUUUUAGAUGAAAAACAGCUAACCCUCUGUGUAACUUCAUUUCCCCUGUGUUAGAUUAAUUGUUAACUCACUGAAGUGUUACCUGAAAGCUGGAAUCUGCAUUUUGCAUUUGUUUUUGUUUUGUUUAUGAAAUGGAGGAGAGUAGCAUCCAGCAUCGUGAUGAAAAAAAUUGCAAUUCAUACUCUUCCCUUCUAUCGUGCGUGCAAUGGUGUGCAUGAUGUCCUAGGGAAACAAACAUUCUUCAUUGUUUUAAGGAAUUUCUUUGUUAUUGUAAUAUCGCAAAUGGAUGUGGCAGUUUCACCAAUACUGAUUCCAGCCUUAACAUGUGUUUGCCUGAGAUGAAUUAGGCCUAGAGACAAUGGGAACAUUUCUAUCGAUUUGAAUGAAUAACUGAUUCCU